AUGCUUCACAUCAAUGUGAUAACAACUGCAGCAACAACUCCUUGUUUCGCUCACCAACAUAAACGCUUGGCAUUAACAACCACAAUUCAACACCUAUCGUCAGAUAGGAUUUUAGAGAAGAAAGAGGAAGAAGACAUGUUUGCAGAAAAUGAAGAAAUCACAGUUCAUUACUUGAAGAAACGCAAGGAUAUCUGGAAUUUCGAUAAUUCCGCAGACUUCAAAGAAUCGCCGGAAUAG
Vicia faba (fava bean) is the source of this 237-nucleotide non-coding RNA. NCBI's taxonomy places the organism in Eukaryota, Viridiplantae, Streptophyta, Magnoliopsida, Fabales, Fabaceae. The record is from the annotation of a GenBank genome assembly.